Molecule: ribosomal RNA, 253 nt
Filed under: uncultured bacterium
Lineage: Bacteria
Description: partial 16S ribosomal RNA
Rfam family: Bacterial small subunit ribosomal RNA
Source: RNAcentral
UACGUAGGGGGCAAGCGUUGUCCGGAAUCAUUGGGCGUAAAGAGCGCGUAGGCGGCCCAGUAAGUCCGCUCUGAAAGUCAGAGGCUCAACCUCUGAAUGCGGGUGGAUACUGCUGGGCUAGAGUCCGGAAGAGGCGAGUGGAAUUCCUGGUGUAGCGGUGAAAUGCGCAGAUAUCAGGAGGAACACCGAUGGCGAAGGCGGGUCUCUGGGCCGAAACUGACGCUGAGGAGCGAAGGCGUGGGGAGCAAACAGG